GACGAACGCUGGCGGCGCGCUUAACACAUGCAAGUCGAACGGAAAGGCCUGCUUUCCCUUGUGGAUUGCGGGUACUCGAGUGGCGAACGGGUGAGUAACACGUGAGUGAUCUGCCCCCAACUUGGGUAUAAGCCUGGGAAACUGGGUCUAAUUCCCGAUAGGACUGCAGGGUGGUGCCUGUGGUGGAAAACGAUUUUCUAGUGGUUGGGGAUGAGCUCGCGGCCUAUCAGCUUGUUGGUGGGGUAAUGGCCUACCAAGGCGGCGACGGGUAGCCGGCCUGAGAGGGUGGACGGCCACAUUGGGACUGAGAUACGGCCCAGACUCCUACGGGAGGCAGCAGUGGGGAAUAUUGCACAAUGGGCGGAAGCCUGAUGCAGCGACGCCGCGUGGGGGAUGACGGCCUUCGGGUGGUAAACUCCUUUCGACCGCGAGGAAGCCACCUGGUUGGAAGGGUGGUGACGGUAGUGGUAGAAGAAGCACCGGCUAACUAC
RNAcentral lists this ribosomal RNA (491 nucleotides) under uncultured bacterium. RNAcentral's name for it is "partial 16S ribosomal RNA". It matches the Rfam family "Bacterial small subunit ribosomal RNA", at positions 28 to 504 of the family's 1533-position model. The record is from RNAcentral.